AGAUGGCCAUGCGAGUUAACGUAGCAAUACGUGGCGCACGGCUCAGUAACACGUAGUCAACAUGCCCAGAGGACGUGGAUAACCUCGGGAAACUGAGUCUAAACCGCGAUAAGUGAGGAUUUCUGGAAUGGUUCCUGACUAAAAUCUAUAUGGCCUCUGGAUUGGACUGCGGCCGAUCAGGCUGUUGGUGAGGUAAUGGCCCACCAAACCUGUAACCGGUACGGGCUUUGAGAGAAGGAGCCCGGAGAUGGGCACUGAGACAAGGGCCCAGGCCCUAUGGGGCGCAGCAGGCGCGAAACCUCUGCAAUAGGCGAAAGCUUGACAGGGUUACUCUGAGUGAUGCCCGCUAAGGGCAUCUUUUGGCACCUCUAAAAAUGGUGCAGAAUAAGGGGUGGGCAAGUCUGGUGUCAGCCGCCGCGGUAAUACCAGCACCCCGAGUGGUCGGGACGAUUAUUGGGCCUAAAGCAUCCGUAGCUUGUUCUGCAAGUCCUCCGUUAAAUCCACCUGCUCAACAGAUGGGCUGCGGGGGAUACUACAGGGCUAGGAGGCGGGAGAGGCAAGCGGUACUCAGUGGGUAGGGGUAAAAUCCUCUGAUCCACUGAAGACCACCAGUGGCGAAGGCGGCUUGCCAGAACGCGCUCGACGGUGAGGGAUGAAAGCUGGGGGAGCAAACCGGAUUAGAUACCCGGGUAGUCCCAGCUGUAAACGAUGCAGACUCGGUGAUGGGUUGGCUUUGCGCCAACCCAGUGCCGCNGGAAAGCCGUUAAGUCUGCCGCCUGGGGAGUACGGUCGCAAGACUGGAACUUAAAGGAAUUGGCGGGGGAGCACCACAAGGGUGAAGCCUGCGGUUC
RNAcentral lists this ribosomal RNA (851 nucleotides) under uncultured crenarchaeote. Its description in RNAcentral is "bacterial SSU rRNA". It matches the Rfam family "Archaeal small subunit ribosomal RNA", at positions 43 to 903 of the family's 1478-position model. The record is from RNAcentral. Lineage: Archaea; Thermoproteati; Thermoproteota.